UACGUAGGGCGCAAGCGUUGUCCGGAAUUAUUGGGGCGUAACGAGCUCGUAGGUGGCUUGUCACGUCGGGUGUGAAAGCUUGGGGCUUAACUCCAGGUCUGCAUUCGAUACGGGCUGGCUAGAGGUAGGUAGGGGAGAACGGAAUUCCUGGUGUAGCGGUGAAAUGCGCAGAUAUCAGGAGGAACACCCGUGGCGAAGGCGGCUCUCUGGGACGGUACUGACGCUGAGACGCGAAAGCGUGGGGAGCGAACAGG
This 254-nucleotide ribosomal RNA is filed under the name uncultured bacterium. RNAcentral describes it as "partial 16S ribosomal RNA". It matches the Rfam family "Bacterial small subunit ribosomal RNA", at positions 524 to 776 of the family's 1533-position model. The record is from RNAcentral.